Small nuclear RNA from Vitis vinifera (wine grape), 131 nucleotides. NCBI's taxonomy places the organism in Eukaryota, Viridiplantae, Streptophyta, Magnoliopsida, Vitales, Vitaceae. The record is from Rfam.
AUAUUUUUAGAAACGAAAGAAGGUGGGCAUCUGCCCUGGCAAGGAUGGGAAUGGCCUCUUUGGGUACACAUCUGGUUAAGGCUUCCUGCUUAAAUGGAUCCUGUGUGCAUGGAUUGCACCCACCUUUUGGU